CGUAAACCCCGUUGAGCCUUAGCCAUUUUAUUCAUUGUAAACCCCAUGUUAACGUUUAAGCAUUAUUCAUCAUGAACCCCCUAUUAACUUUUAAUCAUCCAUUUCCUUUUAUGUCAUAACUCGGUAUGAUUGUGUGAAUUGCAAGAUGUGCAAUAAAACUAAGUUUGGGGUGGAAAUCUUGAAAGGGAAGGCAAGUGCAUAAGAUGAGAUCAUACAAAAAGAAAAAUAGUAUGUAAUUUCUUUUAAAAAAAAGAAGAAGAAAAGAAAAGAAAAGAAAAACAAAAGAGAAAAAUGCACUUGCCGAGACCGUAGAUUCUAACAGAUAUAAAAUGCUCGGAAAAGUUGAGUAGAAUCAAGAGAAGUGAAAUUAACCCCGAGAGUAUAUGUGAUGCACAGAAAAAAAGAAAAGAAAAAUCACACAACAUGACUACCGAGUUCAAAACCCUUUGUUAUCCCAUUUUUUUUGUUUAUCCCACCGUACCCAAGCCCCGUUACAACCAAAAAAGAUCUCAAAAAGUGUGUGGAAUCUACUGUGGUAGUGACAUUAGAAUGUAUUCAAAGUUAAGAGUUGGUAUUGCAUACUGUGCUGUGAGUGUACACACCUAACCCUGAGAGAUAUUGUGAGUGUGUGAAAAGCUUGCAGGUGAAGAGGUUUCUGAUGUGGAAAUGUGGUAAACUGCCUGAAUCGGAGAGACCUGAAACUCGAUUGGAAAGGAAGAACACAAAGGGUGAAAGACUAGGUUGCAUUGUGGAAAGCGAAUUCGGGGGUGACCUUUGUUUGGACUCAAUACAUCACUUGAGGACAAGCAAUGAGACAAGUUUGGGGUUGUGAUCGGUCACCAUUUCCAUUGAAUUCCCGCCGCUAAUCCGACAUAUUUUCAUCACCUUGGUAAGAUUUAUGGUUGUUUUUAGUUGCAUUUGAGUCAAUUAGCAUGUUUUGUUGGUUUGGUAUUGCAUUGCAUUUGAUUACGAGUUUAUGUCAAAAAGAUCUCGUUUAUGCUUCGUUUGGUAGUGUUAUUGUUACAGGUUUAAAAGCAAGAAUGGUGAAGUUCUGGACACUCUGAAGGACAAAAAUAUGAGAAAACAGCAGGUCAACACGGGCACCCGUGUGCCACAACACUGCCCGUGUUGCUGAUCAAGCAGAGCAGAGAGGGAGCAGAAAACAGGGAUCAACACGGCCACCCGUGUGCCACCACACGGCCGUGUUGAUUAAAAUAGUGCAUUAACACGGGCACCCGUGUGUAGGGACACGACCCGUGUUGUUGCCACUGUAACUUAUGCUGAAAAUAAUUAAUGUUGAAGAACAACACGACCGCCCGUGUGCCACAAC
Molecule: long non-coding RNA, 1330 nt
Filed under: Lathyrus oleraceus (garden pea)
Lineage: Eukaryota; Viridiplantae; Streptophyta; Magnoliopsida; Fabales; Fabaceae
Description: Pisum sativum (pea) long non-coding RNA (PSAT_LNC021195)
Source: RNAcentral